ACCACUUAGCAUCUCGUUAUGUGGGUGGUCUUGAUGGGGUUCAGAGAAAACGUAAAUUCUGCUGUUUGGGUUGCAAUUGUGGCCCUAGGCUUUAUGGGAGACUGUACUGAGGACUCAUUACUAAGUUCUUCUUGCCUCCAGAAGGCAUAUGUGAGAAUUGCUCCUCAGAUUCCGCCAAGUUUCUGAGCAAGGUGUGAAGGCUGAUGGUGGUCUGUAGAAGUAGGAGCUCAAACUUCAUGCCCCUGGAGAAGAGAAAUACGUAGUUUUCACUUUAUGACAAAUGAUUCUUGGAAUCCCGGAAGAUCCUCUGUUUGACUCAAAGUAUUUGAUAGUCCUUUUAUAGUAAGAAAGCAUCCUAAAUCAUGUCUGGAGAUGUCUCCAGAUGAUUAGCUGUGGGUAUUCUUAGUCCCUCUGAGUCUAGUUUUAUUUUGCUCGCAGGAACCAUUCGUACAAGCAGAACAACAUGCGUGCUCUUGAGUUAUUUUCCAUUUGGCUAAUAUGUCUAAACUUCUCCUAACUGUUUAAAAUAUGUGCCCUUACUCAAACUCUGUGCGUGAGUAUGGGGAGAUAAAAAGGCUUGUGUAUCAGUUAUAUCUUAAACUAAUCCAGCGUGACAGAAGAUGCUUUCUAUCACAGCAGAUAAUCCUACCUUUUUUUCCCCCUUCUCUUACUGGUCACUGCAUGUGCAGAUGAAUGCCUCCUCAUUACCGAGUCUAUGCAUCAACUUGCAUCUUCUCAGCAUCUUGUUUCUAGUCUGAUAUUUUCCAGCAAUCUUGUAUUCACUGAUCUUCGUCUACCUUAGAAUGGAAAAAAAAAAACCAAAAAACUGUUGAAGUUGUAUUUAUGAAUCUAUUACUCACUGGCAAUUUUUCAUAGUUAUCAUUAAAGAGUGAUGAGUUCAGUCGAAGAUGUGAUGAAGUUAAUGGAAGUCUUUGCAUUGAUUUUCAUUUUUAAUUUUUAUUUUCCCUCUAUACGUUCCAGUGCCUGUGCGUGUAUUCAUUUUAUGUACUUUGGAUCAAUUCCCU
Molecule: long non-coding RNA, 1025 nt
Filed under: Numida meleagris (helmeted guineafowl)
Lineage: Eukaryota; Metazoa; Chordata; Aves; Galliformes; Numididae
Description: lncRNA (ENSNMEG00000013521.1)
Source: RNAcentral